UAAGGAAUAUUGCUCAAUGGGAGAAAUCCUGAAGCAGCAACGCCGCGUGGAGGAUGAAGGGUCUAUGACUUGUAAACUCCUGUAAAGAAGGAAAAAAUUCCCAUUAGAUGGGAGAUGAUGGUACUUCUGGAGUAAGCCCCGGCUAACUACGUGCCAGCAGCCGCGGUAAUACGUAGGGGGCAAGCGUUGUCCGGAUUUACUGGGUGUAAAGGGUGCUCAGGCGGAUUUGUAAGUCAGAGGUGAAAUCUUACAGCUUAACUGUGAAACUGCCUUUGAUACUGCAAGCCUUGAGUAUGGAAGAGAGUGAUGGAAUAUCUGGUGUAGCAGUGAAAUGCGUAGAUAUCAGAUAGAACACCAAUGGCGAAGGCAGUCACUUGGUCCAUUACUGACGCUAAAGCACGAAAGCGUGGGUAGCAAACA
RNAcentral lists this ribosomal RNA (420 nucleotides) under uncultured bacterium. RNAcentral describes it as "bacterial SSU rRNA". It matches the Rfam family "Bacterial small subunit ribosomal RNA", at positions 355 to 774 of the family's 1533-position model. The record is from RNAcentral.